Molecule: long non-coding RNA, 451 nt
Filed under: Dasypus novemcinctus (nine-banded armadillo)
Lineage: Eukaryota; Metazoa; Chordata; Mammalia; Cingulata; Dasypodidae
Description: lncRNA (ENSDNOG00000050829.1)
Source: RNAcentral
CGUGGGGACCUAAAUAAGUUCUAGGUACACCUGACCACAGGAAAUAGAGGUGCAGUUUAAAGAAGGGAGACAGUGAUGGCCCACGUUUUCUGCUCUUUCCCAGCGGCCAGCCGCGUUAGGACGAUGGAGACGGCUGUCGGGGACGAAAUGGACCACGAGAUUCAGCCUCAAGGACAAUUUCCGUGGACUUCCAGUUACCUCUCCAUUGACUGCUAGGUUUUGACAGGUACGCUUACCCUGGGCACAGGAGCAGUGGGUUCUUGAGAGCUCACUGAAUUUCACACUUCAGUGAAAACGUUCUCCUUUUCACAGGUGGGACAGGUGGGUCCUCCAGGUUUCUGAGUUGGUGCCAGGAAGAGGCAUCGCCUCCUCAGCGAUACCCGGACCUUUCUUUCAUUCAUGCCCCAGGGUCUGUGACUUGUAGGUUCCUCUCUGUUGGGGGUGAGGUAGG